RNAcentral lists this ribosomal RNA (406 nucleotides) under uncultured bacterium. Its description in RNAcentral is "partial 16S ribosomal RNA". It matches the Rfam family "Bacterial small subunit ribosomal RNA", at positions 30 to 526 of the family's 1533-position model. The record is from RNAcentral.
AUUGAACGCUGGCGGCAGGCCUAACACAUGCAAGUCGAGCGAGCGGCGGACGGGUGAGUAAUGUAUGGGGAUCUGCCUGAUGGCGGGGGAUAACUACUGGAAACGGUAGCUAAUACCGCAUACCAUCAGAUGAACCCAGAUGGGAUUCUCUUGUAGGUGGGGUAACGGCUCACCUAGGCGACGAUCCCUAGCUGGUCUGAGAGGAUGAUCAGCCAAACUGGGACGGAGACACGGCCCAGACUCAUACGGGAGGCAGCAGUGGGGAAUAUGGCACAAUGGGCGCAAGCCUGAUGCAGCCAUGCCGCGUGUAUGAAGAAGGCCUUCGGGUUGUAAAGUACUUUCAGUCGGGAGGCGUUACCGACAGAAGAAGCACCGGCUAACUCCGUGCCAGCCGCCGCGGUAAUAC